Molecule: ribosomal RNA, 251 nt
Filed under: Staphylococcus agnetis
Lineage: Bacteria; Bacillati; Bacillota; Bacilli; Caryophanales; Staphylococcaceae
Description: partial 16S ribosomal RNA
Rfam family: Bacterial small subunit ribosomal RNA
Source: RNAcentral
UUUAUGGAGAGUUUGAUCCUGGCUCAGGAUGAACGCUGGCGGCGUGCCUAAUACAUGCAAGUCGAGCGAACAGAUGAGGAGCUUGCUCCUUUGACGUUAGCGGCGGACGGGUGAGUAACACGUGGGUAACCUACCUAUAAGACUGGAAUAACUCCGGGAAACCGGGGCUAAUGCCGGAUAACAUGUUGAACCGCAUGGUUCAACAGUGAAAGACGGUCUUGCUGUCACUUAUAGAUGGACCCGCGCCGUAU